Molecule: ribosomal RNA, 1577 nt
Filed under: Limosilactobacillus reuteri SD2112
Lineage: Bacteria; Bacillati; Bacillota; Bacilli; Lactobacillales; Lactobacillaceae
Description: Lactobacillus reuteri SD2112 16S ribosomal RNA
Rfam family: Bacterial small subunit ribosomal RNA
Source: RNAcentral
UUAUAUGAGAGUUUGAUCCUGGCUCAGGAUGAACGCCGGCGGUGUGCCUAAUACAUGCAAGUCGUACGCACUGGCCCAACUGAUUGAUGGUGCUUGCACCUGAUUGACGAUGGAUCACCAGUGAGUGGCGGACGGGUGAGUAACACGUAGGUAACCUGCCCCGGAGCGGGGGAUAACAUUUGGAAACAGAUGCUAAUACCGCAUAACAACAAAAGCCACAUGGCUUUUGUUUAAAAGAUGGCUUUGGCUAUCACUCUGGGAUGGACCUGCGGUGCAUUAGCUAGUUGGUAAGGUAACGGCUUACCAAGGCGAUGAUGCAUAGCCGAGUUGAGAGACUGAUCGGCCACAAUGGAACUGAGACACGGUCCAUACUCCUACGGGAGGCAGCAGUAGGGAAUCUUCCACAAUGGGCGCAAGCCUGAUGGAGCAACACCGCGUGAGUGAAGAAGGGUUUCGGCUCGUAAAGCUCUGUUGUUGGAGAAGAACGUGCGUGAGAGUAACUGUUCACGCAGUGACGGUAUCCAACCAGAAAGUCACGGCUAACUACGUGCCAGCAGCCGCGGUAAUACGUAGGUGGCAAGCGUUAUCCGGAUUUAUUGGGCGUAAAGCGAGCGCAGGCGGUUGCUUAGGUCUGAUGUGAAAGCCUUCGGCUUAACCGAAGAAGUGCAUCGGAAACCGGGCGACUUGAGUGCAGAAGAGGACAGUGGAACUCCAUGUGUAGCGGUGGAAUGCGUAGAUAUAUGGAAGAACACCAGUGGCGAAGGCGGCUGUCUGGUCUGCAACUGACGCUGAGGCUCGAAAGCAUGGGUAGCGAACAGGAUUAGAUACCCUGGUAGUCCAUGCCGUAAACGAUGAGUGCUAGGUGUUGGAGGGUUUCCGCCCUUCAGUGCCGGAGCUAACGCAUUAAGCACUCCGCCUGGGGAGUACGACCGCAAGGUUGAAACUCAAAGGAAUUGACGGGGGGCCCGCACAAGCGGUGGAGCAUGUGGUUUAAUUCGAAGCUACGCGAAGAACCUUACCAGGUCUUGACAUCUUGCGCUAACCUUAGAGAUAAGGCGUUCCCUUCGGGGACACAAUGACAGGUGGUGCAUGGUCGUCGUCAGCUCGUGUCGUGAGAUGUUGGGUUAAGUCCCGCAACGAGCGCAACCCUUGUUACUAGUUGCCAGCAUUAAGUUGGGCACUCUAGUGAGACUGCCGGUGACAAACCGGAGGAAGGUGGGGACGACGUCAGAUCAUCAUGCCCCUUAUGACCUGGGCUACACACGUGCUACAAUGGACGGUACAACGAGUCGCAAGCUCGCGAGAGUAAGCUAAUCUCUUAAAGCCGUUCUCAGUUCGGACUGUAGGCUGCAACUCGCCUACACGAAGUCGGAAUCGCUAGUAAUCGCGGAUCAGCAUGCCGCGGUGAAUACGUUCCCGGGCCUUGUACACACCGCCCGUCACACCAUGGGAGUUUGUAACGCCCAAAGUCGGUGGCCUAACCUUUAUGGAGGGAGCCGCCUAAGGCGGGACAGAUGACUGGGGUGAAGUCGUAACAAGGUAGCCGUAGGAGAACCUGCGGCUGGAUCACCUCCUUU